AUAAUAGUUAAUAAUUUUUUCAUCAACAAUAACUUGUUCCCCGUAUAUUUCGGUUAAUUUAAGUUUUUCAUCAGCAAAUACUUUGUUCCCCGUAUAAUAAUAGUUAAUUUAAAUUUUUCAUCACCAACAAUUUGUUGCCCGUAUAAAUUAGUGUAGUAUACUUUUUAGAAACACACGAGAUCUAUAAAUACACGGCUAAGCAAUUUGUUCCCCGUAUAAAAAUACAAUCAAACUUGUACUUUCAGACCCAAAAUACAUGCCUUAGUUUGGGCUUAAUGCCCAGCCCAGCCCAUAAAAUAAAUAAAAAACCUAACCACUCCUUAGAUGUAACUCAGUUUUCUGACUUUCUCUAACCCUAGCCGCCGCUCAAACAUCUCUCUCUAUCUCUCGCAUUUUUCUUCUUCCUGAGUCCUAAUGAACCACCACCACCACCUUUCCUCUGCGUUUUUUUCCCUCUAUGUUUCUUUUUGUUUUUAAUUUAUUUGACAAAAUCAAUCUCCUCCAUUUGU
Molecule: long non-coding RNA, 509 nt
Filed under: Trifolium pratense (red clover)
Lineage: Eukaryota; Viridiplantae; Streptophyta; Magnoliopsida; Fabales; Fabaceae
Description: long non-coding RNA (TPRA_LNC010601)
Source: RNAcentral